Molecule: ribosomal RNA, 253 nt
Filed under: uncultured bacterium
Lineage: Bacteria
Description: partial 16S ribosomal RNA
Rfam family: Bacterial small subunit ribosomal RNA
Source: RNAcentral
UACGAAGGGGGCUAGCGUUGCUCGGAAUUACUGGGCGUAAAGCGCACGUAGGCGGCUUCUUAAGUCGGUGGUGAAAUCCUGGAGCUCAACUCCAGAACUGCCUUCGAUACUGGGAAGCUCGAGUCCGGGAGAGGUGAGUGGAACUGCGAGUGUAGAGGUGAAAUUCGUAGAUAUUCGCAAGAACACCAGUGGCGAAGGCGGCUCACUGGCCCGGUACCGACGCUGAGGUGCGAAAGCGUGGGGAGCAAACAGG